CCUGGGGCGUUGCCCCAGGCUAUAAUAAUUCGCCCCGUUGGGGCU
Molecule: non-coding RNA, 45 nt
Organism: Beggiatoa sp.
Lineage: Bacteria; Pseudomonadati; Pseudomonadota; Gammaproteobacteria; Thiotrichales; Thiotrichaceae
Source: Rfam